RNAcentral lists this long non-coding RNA (1092 nucleotides) under Ananas comosus (pineapple). RNAcentral describes it as "long non-coding RNA (ACOM_LNC037587)". Lineage: Eukaryota; Viridiplantae; Streptophyta; Magnoliopsida; Poales; Bromeliaceae. The record is from RNAcentral.
UGGGUUUGGCUUCCUUGAAAUCGGAGGAAAUUCCUCCUAAGUGGUUAAAUGCUUUCUUUCUCUUCAAAUUCAUGCAUAUUCAUGUUUAGUAGCAUUUAUGGAAAUUUUGAAUGCUUAGAACUCAUAUGUUACGCAUCAAGAAAGUUACUCUAUAUAGUAGAGAGACAAAUGUGCUUUGUUAAUAUGCAUGCGACGAAUACUCUAUGAGAUGAUAGGAAAUAAAGUUUCAUGCUUCGAUUUUGACUAGAAAUUAUAAGUUCUUGAAUUUAUUAUUCAUGUUGGGACAAAAUGAGCCAUAGUGUCAUAAAGAGGUACUUGGACUAGAGAAUUAUUAAACUGCAACGUAGAGACUUGAUAAUAGGCCACCUUGACAUCAACUAUAUUCCAUAUUUGAGAUAUAAUGAAAUAGUGACUUGGCCACGAGGACAUUUGCUGUAUACCAUGUUACUGAACAUGAGAAUUUGGUACUUGCGACUGAUCGUUUGAUUACUUGCCAUUGUGCUCAUUCGCACAUGCUUGUGAGGGUCGCUCCCUACAAGCCGGCACUCCGGAGAUGGCCAUCGCGAUUCAUACUCGCCGUGCGGGAUUAGGCGCCGAAGUGGAUUGCCGUGGGACAGGCCCAUCCCUAGGAUGGGGAUGAUGACUACCACGGGGCCAUUAGGCUCGGCACCGGCCAGACAGCCUUCGGGUGGGUCUCAGGGCUAUAGACAGCCUUCGGGUGGGUCUCUUCAGAUUCGACUUGAGUAUUCGUUAUGACAUGUGGACAGAUGAUGAUUUAGAGUAUUAUUUGGACAUUGACUAGAAUAGUAAACAAUAGAACUUUAUUAUUUCGCAUUGUGAACAUUAUGAUAGUUGGAGACUUUUACUUCAUGCAUAGUUGUUUCAUACUUAUGCUAUUUAGGCUAAGUAGAGAUAUCAUGUUAUAGUAAGUUACAUUUUACUUACCUUUCGCUUUUCUACAUCUAUAGUCACUAACCUCUUUUGUAGCUUUGGGCCUUGUGGUGCAUUCACUGAAGUCAGUAAUCGCCCACUGGGAACUAUUUUUGAUAGUUCUCACGCCCCUGUUUUAUGGUUUCCUUUUCAGAGCCUUCG